AAGUAAGAAGCAAUUAAUUGCAAUUAGUUUCGACCUAGGAGUAUGAUUUUGAAAAAUCCUUACUUA
Molecule: transfer RNA, 66 nt
Filed under: Cryptocephalus moraei
Lineage: Eukaryota; Metazoa; Arthropoda; Insecta; Coleoptera; Chrysomelidae
Description: tRNA-Arg
Source: RNAcentral